This 406-nucleotide ribosomal RNA is filed under the name uncultured bacterium. Its description in RNAcentral is "partial 16S ribosomal RNA". It matches the Rfam family "Bacterial small subunit ribosomal RNA", at positions 30 to 527 of the family's 1533-position model. The record is from RNAcentral.
AUUGAACGCUGGCGGCAGGCCUAACACAUGCAAGUCGAACGAGUGGCGGACGGGUGAGUAAUGUAUGGGAACCUGCUUGAGGGCGGGGGAUAACUACUGGCAACGGUCGCUAAUACCGCCAACCUUCCGCUGUGCCGUGGUGGGAUUAGCUUGUUGUUGGGGUAACGGCUGAACAAGGCGCAGAACCCUAGCUGGUAUGAGAGGAUGACCAGCAACACUGGAACUGAGACACGGUCCAGACUCCUACGGGAGGCAGCAGUGGGGAAUAUUGAGCAAUGGGCGCAAGCCUGAUGCAGCAAUGCCGCGUGUAUGAAGAAGGCCUUCGGGUUGUAAAGUACUUUCAGCGGGGAGGCGUUACCCGCAGAAGAAGCACCGGCUAACUCCGUGCCAGCAGCCGCGGUAAUUG